UCUCCGUUGGUGAACCAGCGGAGGGAUCAUUACCGAGUUAUUCUACUCCCAAACCCCUGUGAACUUAUACCUUUACUGUUGCUUCGGCGGGUUAACGCCCCGGAAGGCCCGCGAGGGCCGCCGGAACCAGGCGCCCGCCGGAGGGACCAACCAAACUCUUUCUGUAGUCCCCUCGCGGACGUUAUUUUUACAGCUCUGAGCAAAAAUUCAAAAUGAAUCAAAACUUUCAACAACGGAUCUCUUGGUUCUG
Molecule: unclassified non-coding RNA, 250 nt
Filed under: plant metagenome
Description: partial contains small subunit ribosomal RNA, internal transcribed spacer 1, and 5.8S ribosomal RNA
Source: RNAcentral